Molecule: ribosomal RNA, 494 nt
Filed under: uncultured bacterium
Lineage: Bacteria
Description: bacterial SSU rRNA
Rfam family: Bacterial small subunit ribosomal RNA
Source: RNAcentral
ACUCAAAGGAAUAGACGGGAGCCCGCACAAGCAGUGGAGUAUGUGGUUUAAUUCGACGCAACGCGAAGAACCUUACCAGGAUUUGACAUCCACGGAAGCCGGCGUAAUGGCUGGCGUGCCCUUCGGGGAGCCGUGAGACAGGUGGUGCAUGGUUGUCGUCAGCUCGUGUCGUGAGAUGUUGGGUUAAGUCCCGCAACGAGCGCAACCCUUGUUGUCAGUUGCUACGCAAGAGCACUUUGGCAAGACUGCCGUUGACAAAACGGAGGAAGGCGGGGACGACGUCAAAUCAUCAUGCCCCUUAAGUUCUGGGCUACACACGUACUACAAUGGCGCAAACAAAGGGAAGCGAAGGAGCGAUCUGGAGCGAAUCUCAAAAAAGGCGCCUCAGUUCGGAUUGCAGGCUGCAACUCGCCUGCAUGAAGUCGGAAUUGCUAGUAAUCGCGGGUCAUCAUACCGCGGUGAAUACGUUCCCGGGCUUUGUACACACCGCCCGU